Molecule: ribosomal RNA, 446 nt
Filed under: uncultured bacterium
Lineage: Bacteria
Description: partial 16S ribosomal RNA
Rfam family: Bacterial small subunit ribosomal RNA
Source: RNAcentral
CCUACGGGGGGCAGCAGUCGAGAAUCAUUCACAAUGGGGGAAACCCUGAUGGUGCGACGCCGCGUGGGGGAAUGAAGGUCUUCGGAUUGUAAACCCCUGUCAUGUGGGAGCAAAUUAAAAAGAUAGUACCACAAGAGGAAGAGACGGCUAACUCUGUGCCAGCAGCCGCGGUAAUACAGAGGUCUCAAGCGUUGUUCGGAAGCACUGGGCGUAAAGCGUGCGUAGGCUGUUUCGUAAGUCGUGUGUGAAAGGCGCGGGCUCAACCCGCGGACGGCACAUGAUACUGCGAGACUAGAGUAAUGGAGGGGGAACCGGAAUUCUCGGUGUAGCAGUGAAAUGCGUAGAUAUCGAGAGGAACACUCGUGGCGAAGGCGGGUUACUGGACAUUAACUGACGCUGAGGCACGAAGGCCAGGGGAGCGAAAGGGAUUAGAUACCCUUGUAGUC